CAUCCGGGCGCUCCGAGGACACGAAGAACUCUACGCCGUUCUUCUCCUCCUGCCGCAGCCGCCAGUCAAUCAAUCCGUCAAUCAAUGAAAGUCUGUGUCAAUAAGGAGAGGCGUGCGUCCUCACAUCGACAGCGUUGAUGUGGACGAGGCCGACAGGAACUCCCAGCGCCGCCGCCACGCCGCCGCGAAACCAACGAAGAAGAGCCGUGUUCAGACUGCGGACGUCCAAUGCCAAAAACUACAAACACAACACAAAGUAUCAUGCUGGAGAUAACUUGGUAUACUGCAGAAAUUCCAUAAGGGUUCACAAAGUUUUUCGUCCCCCGAGAUGAACAGAAGAUAAACGGGUAGACGGACAGAUAGACGGCUGGAAAGAAAGAAAUCAAGAAAAAUAUUUCGAUAGAUGGGCGGACAGAAAAGACAGACAGCUGUCACCAUAGUAACCAGAUGGCGUGCGGCCACAGUGGCGUGCUCCACGUGAACCUCGCCACCUGAGCGAUGAUGAUGAAGAUGAUGACGAUGAUGCCAGCGGUGUCGGCGAGGCGGCACGCUGCCGUCCGGAUGCGGGUUCAAGUCCGAGGAGUCGGCGUUACGCAGCUCGUGCUCGCCUGAGGAUGACUCUGAGGAGACCGGCAGGUGGCGUUAGAGACAACAUUGAAACGGGCUCCACCUCCUCCAAGACAACAUGUUACACACGCGGCACCCUUUCACAAUAAACGGGAGGCAGACGCCACUUUCGCGCUCCACCCUGGCGACGGCGUCGUGGUCGCUAUAACGAGCAUGAACUCAGGCCUGUUCUGAUUGGACGGCUUUGCUGUCAUGGGAAGAACUGCCAGCCAAUCACAGGUGGAGUUGGAGACAAAUACUUGGACGUGCACACAGUCUUACGGACAGGAGUGAUGGGCACAGCAGUUCUUUUGAGUGUACUGAAUCAUUCGAAUCAGUUCAUUACAAAGAAUCAUUCAAUUGAAUCGUUCAGUUUUUUUCACAAAAUCAUUCAAGUCCUUCCUCAUCCAGUUAAUGAUCCACCCCUGAGGUUCACGUUCACUCAACACAUUCACCGGAGGGCUUUGCGUAGUUGGUGUCAUGUAUUGUAAACUCUGAAAGGCGGGGAGAUUGAUAUAUUAAAAAAAAAAAAAAAAGAUCACCGACCAAUCUCUCUCUCAGCAAGCUCUCAAACAGUCGUGAACGUGUGCAGCGAGCUCAGCUAGCGACCAUCCUUCCGCGUCCCCUGACGUCCAGCUAGGCUCUCGCCAGCCGGCGUGACUUUUCUGCAUUCCACCGCUGUGGACAGCAGCCGCCGCCAGCCGGGCUUUCUGCUCACUCAUCUGACUGUUAUUGCUAUCGGAUUAGUGGAAAGCAUCUUUGAGUGUCUUGAUAAGCGCUAUAGAAGUUGAAUGUAUUA
Molecule: long non-coding RNA, 1405 nt
Organism: Phyllopteryx taeniolatus (common seadragon)
Lineage: Eukaryota; Metazoa; Chordata; Actinopteri; Syngnathiformes; Syngnathidae
Exons: 2
Source: RefSeq, a predicted model, not a curated record